Lagopus muta (rock ptarmigan) is the source of this 2624-nucleotide long non-coding RNA. RefSeq lists it as uncharacterized. The transcript has 3 exons. NCBI's taxonomy places the organism in Eukaryota, Metazoa, Chordata, Aves, Galliformes, Phasianidae. The record is from RefSeq and is a predicted model, not a curated record.
CAGAAAUGCCAACAAAGAUUUCAGGUUUAUGUUCAGGUGGCUCAGGUGAGCACCAUUUCUGGAUAGAUAAAGGACCCAAUUCACUCGGGCAAUAUUUCUCACUUUUUUUAUUUCUUUUUUUGUUUCAGGGUAGAAUGAAAUAACGCUUCAAAAAAUCACGAUUACCCAAGAUAGUGAUGCCAAAUCCCCUAACUGCAGUUUAUAAAUAUGAUGCACAUGGGAAUAUACGCUUCGUGGCUCACCUGGUACCUUUGGUAGCUAGGUGUCCAUCAGCACGCCCUUUAGAGAAUACUUCUGUGUAUCCAAAGGAAACACAGCCAGCUAGCAGCAAAAAUCUUCCUAACUCCAACACUGCUUCUUUUACAGCCACUUUAUAAACAACCACAGCGAGGCAGUGUCAGGAGAAACCAGGGCAGACAGUUUCACAGGGAAUUUUCUGCUCCUUGUGGCUGUUAUCCUCUCGAGCUCCUGCUCAUUACAAGCAGAUGACCCUGAGGAUACAGCUUCUGCCAUCGCUCUCUCCUGUCACUGUUCACAAUUAUUAUUAAUAUUGAAAGCAAUGCCAAGAAUGCACCCCAUUUCCAAACAGUUGUUGAAGGGAAAGUUUUGAAAUGCCUGUGUAUGCAAAGCUCCUGCACAAGCAGCAGUGAGGCAGAAUGUGUGGGGGUUGUUACGCAGUGCUUGCACUACCGCAGCCUUCGAGGCAGGCUAAAGAGAGCUAAAACUGGUUAAAACAACACCUCUCCAGGCUUACAUAACAACACUUGCUCUGACUUGCAAAAUCUUCUCUGUAUGUUUUUAAUGUACCGGGAAGAAAACUUUCUUUGCUAUAAGCAUGCUUUGUUUCACCUUUCAAAAUAACCUGUGGGUAUUUUGGCUGAGUUUUUAUGGCCCUCAGCACAAUAAGCUUUAGCAGAUUAGCACUUGUCCAAGGAAUUAUCUUUUGCUGUGGUGAAGGUUUUGCAACAGCAAUUCUUCCAUCUGAACUCGGGCAAUGGAUUUACAGAACUGCUGCAUCCUUCGACUGCUGUGGUGUCUUCACAGAGAAUCACAGAAUCACAGAAUUGUAGGGGUUGGAAGGGACCUCCAGAGAUCAUUGAGUCCAACCCCCUGCCAAAGCAGGUUCCCUACACCAGGUCGCACAGGCAGCACACGAAGAAGCCUGUGUUGAAAUCAGGAAGCAACAGCUUUUAUUGCCUCACAAGAUCCUUCAGCACAGCGAGGUGUAUAAACCUUUGGAAAUAAUAAGAUUUGCAAGAUGUUACUGUGUGUACAGUGGGUUUUCUUCACUCAACAGCCAAACUCCGCUUUAAAGCAAGGAUUUAAGAUCUACAGCAGCAGCUGGUGGCAAUAUAGCAAAAUCUAAAUCUAGGAGACAACUCAACAGUUGUUUGUUUUGCUUUGAACUACGGAAGAAAAGAAAAAUCCACACCACAGAAGCAGAAAGAACCUCACCUAAGUUAACCUCACUUUCUCCCCUACCUUCACCUCAUCUUCACCCUCAAGUUACACAGAAAGUUUCCCUUAUGUCCCAAACAUAAAUGAAAGGUCAGACUGUAUCUUCACCUCCUGCCUACAAAAGCAUCAGGAAAUCUGUCUUCACAGUCCAUAAAAUACCAGUGAACGCAGAAAGAAAACAAGUUUGACAACACAUACAUAUUGCAUCAGACUUUUCUAAAUGCACAACCCCAACCUGUCCUCUGAAUCAUCAACCCAUCCUUUCUGAAGAAAAUGACACUUAAAGAAAACAGUCAAGAACCAAGUUACUGACAAAGAAUUAAGUAACAUACAUAGGAAUACGUAAGUGAGCAUACAAAUUGAGAAUGCUAAGAAAAAAAGCAAGAAGUUAUCAAUGUUUUUACUUCUAUUAAUAAAAAGGUGGUCACUCAUCCAGAUCAAUGGAUGGGCAAGCACUCAUUCAGCAGCACACCAAUUUGCUAACACAGUGGAUUAUCUCAAAGCAAGGCUCCAAAAACUACUGUAGCAUACAGAACUAAUGCCGGUUUCCAAUAUAAGCAACAAAUAAUGACCACAUUCCCCCCCUCCCAUUUUCAAUUAGCAAAAGGUCUUGCUAAGAAUAUUACAGGAAAAAUAAGCCUCUUUUUUUUUAUUUUGAAGUGAGAGAGGGAAGAAAUUGGAGACAAGUCAGUCUUGCCUUCCCUUCUGCUAUCAAUGGAUGAUAACUGGAAGUGCAACACCAAUACAAACCGUUUUAUCGAGCUUUAAUGACCAGAGUGGGACUAAGGGUACCAGAAGUGAACAGAAAUUAUUCUCUGCAGACGACAAGUAUAUGCAAUUUCCAUGCAGUACAAUUUAUUCUGAAAGGAGGAAGGAUACUCAAAUCUUCAGCAAAUUAAAAUACUGAACACACAUCAUUAUAACUUUGAAUGAAGAUACAAAUUGUAUCCAUGAUUUUAAGUGUCCUUACUCAAAGUAAUUAGAAUUUGACCAGUCUUUCCCAAUUAACAAAGCCAAUCAAAAAUCAUAUGUAACAGCUGCUUUAUUCCCAUGUCUUAUGAGAAAUAUUUAUUCCUAUCAUUGCUGAACAACUUUUAAACAUUUUUCUUACAUAUAAAAUCCUCCUUACUUUGUUUUCAGUAUUUUAAUUAAGAUACAAAUAUUGU